UCCAAGGUGUCCAGAGGAGCCCAACACA
Molecule: non-coding RNA, 28 nt
Filed under: Rattus norvegicus (Norway rat)
Lineage: Eukaryota; Metazoa; Chordata; Mammalia; Rodentia; Muridae
Source: RNAcentral